RNAcentral lists this transfer RNA (72 nucleotides) under Camelus bactrianus (Bactrian camel). It matches the Rfam family "tRNA". From Rfam's summary of the family: Transfer RNA (tRNA) molecules are approximately 80 nucleotides in length. Their secondary structure includes four short double-helical elements and three loops (D, anti-codon, and T loops). Lineage: Eukaryota; Metazoa; Chordata; Mammalia; Artiodactyla; Camelidae. RNAcentral also lists the same sequence under 2 other names. The record is from Rfam by way of RNAcentral.
GAGGUUAUAGCUUAGUGGUAGAGUGUGUGCUUAGCAUGCAUGAGGUCCUGGGUUCAAUCCUCAGUACCUCCA